RNAcentral lists this ribosomal RNA (253 nucleotides) under uncultured bacterium. RNAcentral's name for it is "partial 16S ribosomal RNA". It matches the Rfam family "Bacterial small subunit ribosomal RNA", at positions 524 to 776 of the family's 1533-position model. The record is from RNAcentral.
UACGUAGGUGACAAGCGUUGUCCGGAUUUACUGGGCGUAAAGAGCGCGCAGGCGGUCGAUCAAGUCGAGUGUGAAAGCCCCCGGCUCAACUGGGGAGGGUCAUUCGAUACUGAUCGACUCGAAGGCAGGAGAGGGUAGUGGAAUUCCGGGUGUAGUGGUGAAAUGCGUAGAUAUCCGGAGGAACACCAGUGGCGAAGGCGGCCACCUGGGCUGUACCUGACGCUCCAACACGAAAGCUAGGGGAGCGAACGGG